This 253-nucleotide ribosomal RNA is filed under the name uncultured bacterium. RNAcentral describes it as "partial 16S ribosomal RNA". It matches the Rfam family "Bacterial small subunit ribosomal RNA", at positions 524 to 776 of the family's 1533-position model. The record is from RNAcentral.
UACAGAGGUCCCAAGCGUUGUUCGGAUUCAUUGGGCGUAAAGGGUGCGUAGGCGGCGCGUUAAGUCGGGUGUGAAAUCUCGGGGCUUAACUCCGAAACUGCAUUCGAUACUGCCGUGCUUGAGGACUGGAGAGGAGACUGGAAUUUACGGUGUAGCGGUGAAAUGCGUAGAUAUCGUAAGGAAGACCAGUGGCGAAGGCGGGUCUCUGGACAGUUCCUGACGCUGAGGCACGAAGGCCAGGGGAGCAAACGGG